RNAcentral lists this ribosomal RNA (466 nucleotides) under uncultured Phycisphaerae bacterium. RNAcentral describes it as "bacterial SSU rRNA". It matches the Rfam family "Bacterial small subunit ribosomal RNA", at positions 920 to 1382 of the family's 1533-position model. Lineage: Bacteria; Pseudomonadati; Planctomycetota; Phycisphaerae. The record is from RNAcentral.
CCCGCACAAGCGGUGAGCAUGUGGUUCAAUUCGAUGCAACGCGAAGAACUUACCUGGGCUUGAACCGCACCUGUAAACCUGUGGAAACACGGGUCCCUCCUUCGGGAGCAGGUGUAGAGGUGCUGCAUGGCUGUCGUCAGCUCGUGUCGUGAGAUGUUGGGUUAAGUCCCUUAACGAGCGAAACCCUUGCCGUUAGUUACCAGCGGGUCAUGCCGGGAACUCUAGCGGGACUGCCGGUGUUAAACCGGAGGAAGGUGGGGAUGACGUCAAGUCAUCAUGGCCUUUAUGCCUAGGGCAUCACACGUGCUACAAUGGCCGGGACAAAGCGACGCAAGACCGCGAGGUGGAGCUAAUCGCAAAAACCCGGCCCCAGUUCGGAUUGCAGGCUGGCAACUCGCCUGCAUGAAGUUGGAAUCGCUAGUAAUCGUGAAUCAGCUAUGUCACGGUGAAUGUGUUCCUGAGUCUU